AAAACUAACCCAUACACUCCAUGCAAGCACGGAUCAUUUAUCCAGGAAUAUCUGCAGGGACAAGGAGUCUCAGGCACAGAGAAAACACAGGAGUCUCCAGGGGCUUCCUGGGCCCCACCUCCAUAGGCUGAACGACAUUCUCCUACAGUGAGCCCGGAAUUCAGCACUCUUAGCAAGCAUCCUAGGUGAGUCGUCUUUCCAUUGCAUAUUUGGAACUACAACACUGUAAGUUUAGUGCAUUGUGGUAGGAGAAGCCCUGAAGAGGGGCCCUAACUCAACCCAGUAAUUGUGGAGAAAUCAUAGAAGGCUUCAUUUUGGAAGUGGUGCCUGAGUUGGGUCUUGGAGGAUGGGGACAGGUAGCAGAAGAAACAAAAGGAGGAGGGCCCAGGCAGGGAAGAAAAAUGAAACAUGAAGGAGAUGGUGUGUUGGGGACCCACCUGUAGGUCCACAUAGUUGGGACACAGAGAAGCAUGAAUCAGGGUGUGAGAAGAGCCAGGGCAAGUAAAUAGAGACCUGAUUAAGACAGGGCUUGACUCGCAUAUACUGAUGGACCCAGGAGCCCUGGAUUGGAAGAGAUCUUGAAUGGCAAGCCAGACUGCACUUGGUCAGGAUGACUCUGUCUGCUUAUUUAGAACACUGUAUUGCAUUGUUCUCUGGUAAAGGAAGACCUUGCCUUUUGAGAUUCUAAAUCAAGGGUCUUCAAACAUUUUUGGUUCAUAACCCCUAAAAGAAAUAUUUAAAAAAUAUUUUCCAACAUUUUAACAGUGACAUCUAAAAAUUUUAUCUUAUGUUUAGUGGUGUAGAAUGGAAUAUCUAGCAUAUGACAUUUUAAGAUAAACUAUUUUAUCAGUCUUUUAAGUGUACCCAGAGGAAUCUAAAUAACCUUGGCAACUCAAUACCUCUGACAUCUAUUUUAAAAAUAUAGGAACACGUUUUUUUUUUUUUUUGAGCAGUUGGAGAGUUUGCAUAUUUUCUUAUUCUUGUGUUCACUUACCAUCCCUUUCUUUCACAGAAUUUGAUCCUAUAUAAUAUAUUUUACAGUAGAAAGAAAGUUUCUUAUUCGUCCCUCAAAUAUACCUCUAAAAUGAAUAUAUAGGUUUAUGUGUAUAUAUAUAUAUGUACAAUGAAUUUUAGUUUUUAUCCCUUGUGACCAUGAGGCAGUCACUGCCAAAUUUCUCCUGGACUGAGUUAACACUAUAAUUAUAAUUAUUAGUAGUACACAAUUUAUUAGAACUCUCUGACAAAUUUUUAUUAUUACUACACACAAAAUAAAAUUGUAUUAAUGAGAUGAUUUUUUCCUCAAUUAAUGUAUCCAAGGAUGAAGUAACUCAGUAAUAGAAUAAGACAGGGUUCAGCAUCAGUUCUUGUUUAUUUUUAUAAAUGUACCUGUGAAUCCUCAUUCACAAAAGGCAGUAGAUGGGAAUGGAGCCAUUUUCAAUUAGCAAUGCUACUUGAUUUUUAAAACUUUCUUUUGAGUUAUAUGAACAGAAUUAUAUUUAAUGAUAAGUUGGCACCUAGAUUAGG
This 1524-nucleotide long non-coding RNA is filed under the name Dasypus novemcinctus (nine-banded armadillo). RNAcentral describes it as "lncRNA (ENSDNOG00000050443.1)". Lineage: Eukaryota; Metazoa; Chordata; Mammalia; Cingulata; Dasypodidae. The record is from RNAcentral.